RNAcentral lists this ribosomal RNA (476 nucleotides) under uncultured anaerobic ammonium-oxidizing bacterium. RNAcentral describes it as "bacterial SSU rRNA". It matches the Rfam family "Bacterial small subunit ribosomal RNA", at positions 365 to 831 of the family's 1533-position model. The record is from RNAcentral.
UUCGCAAUGCCCGAAAGGGUGACGAAGCGACGCCGCGUGCGGGAAGAAGGCCUUCGGGUUGUAAACCUCUGUCGGGAGUUAAGAAAUGCAAGGAUAUUAAUAGUGUCUUUGUUUGACUAAGGCUCCGGAGGAAGCCACGGCUAACUCUGUGCCAGCAGCCGCGGUAAUACAGAGGCGGCAAGCGUUGUUCGGAAUUAUUGGGCGUAAAGAGCACGUAGGCGGCCAUGUAAGUCGGUUGUGAAAGCCUUCCGCUUAACGGGAGAACAGCAUCCGAUACUGCAUGGCUUGAGUGCGGGAGGGGAGAGUGGAACUUCUGGUGGAGCGGUGAAAUGCGUAGAUAUCAGAAGGAACGCCGGCGGCGAAAGCGACUCUCUGGCCCAUAACUGACGCUGAGUGUGCGAAAGCUAGGGGAGCAAACGGGAUUAGAUACCCCGGUAGUCCUAGCCGUAAACGAUGGGCACUAAGUAGAGGGGUUU